AUGAUGUCUGUGAAACUCAACACAGCUGGAGUACUCCUAAGUAAAGUAAUAAUCACAUUUAGGUCCAGCCUUUUUUGUCACGACACCCCCGCUAGGCUAGAGUUCAUCUCGUUGUCUUCUUACUCGUGCGGUACAGCUUAUUUAUCCUGUUGUUUCUCACUCCACACCCUUGAUAGUCUUGGAAUUACAGAGCUCAUGGUUCCCUUCAUAUGUACAUACACGGAGACGGAGACGGAGACGGAGACGGAGACGAAGCAUGCGCGCGCACGUGCGAGAGAGUCGCCGGAGACGGGGAGUAGAGGAUCCGGCGGCUGGUAG
RNAcentral lists this ribosomal RNA (318 nucleotides) under Triticum aestivum (bread wheat). RNAcentral's name for it is "partial small subunit ribosomal RNA". The record is from RNAcentral. Lineage: Eukaryota; Viridiplantae; Streptophyta; Magnoliopsida; Poales; Poaceae.